This 73-nucleotide transfer RNA is filed under the name Strongylocentrotus purpuratus (purple sea urchin). It matches the Rfam family "tRNA". Rfam says of the family: Transfer RNA (tRNA) molecules are approximately 80 nucleotides in length. Their secondary structure includes four short double-helical elements and three loops (D, anti-codon, and T loops). The record is from Rfam by way of RNAcentral. Lineage: Eukaryota; Metazoa; Echinodermata; Echinoidea; Camarodonta; Strongylocentrotidae.
GGUAUGGUGGCUCAGUGGUUAGAGCGCCCGCCUCAUAAACGGGAGGUCGUGGGUUUGAACCCCGGCCGAGUCA